This is a long non-coding RNA of Ochotona curzoniae (black-lipped pika), 1303 nucleotides long. RefSeq lists it as uncharacterized. The transcript is spliced from 3 exons. NCBI's taxonomy places the organism in Eukaryota, Metazoa, Chordata, Mammalia, Lagomorpha, Ochotonidae. The record is from RefSeq and is a predicted model, not a curated record.
UCCAGGGUAUAGCCAGGUACAGGUCCUAGCUUCAUGUGUACUUCUGGCUUUGUGCUCAUGUACACCCUGGGAGGAAAUGACUCCAAGUGCUCGGGUCCUGCCACCAAUGUGGGAAACCCACACUGAGUCUGGGGUUCCUGGCUUCAGCCAGGCUCUGACUCUUACAGGCUUUUGGGGAGUGAGCCAGCAAAUGGAAGAUCUUCUCUUUCACUCUGCCUUUCCAGUAAAGAUAAAUUUUUAAAGCAACUAUUAGUUUUAAGAAGGAAAAUACAGAUAGUUAGGAAUGAAACCAGAACUGUGAGAAUUUACUAUUUUCAAUAGUGCUUCAGAGAGCUCCCAUUUGAAGUAUGUAACCAAGCUACAGAUGAAACAUGUUUUCUUGACAUGGUUUCUUUUAAUAAAAAAUACAGCUGAACAUUUGUCACAGAUUACAUGAAACUAUACACAAUGACAUUCUCUGCAUAGUAACCAACACUGAUGUGUGUACUUGAAUUUUUAAAUGGAUUAUUUAUAAUCCUUUAAAGUGCAAUUUAUUUAAGCAAAUCAUAAGAUAAAUGAUCUUUCUAAUAAAUGAGUGACAUUAAAAAGGUGAUGUUCUUGAAUAAAUUUUUAAAAAAUCAGAACUGAUUUCUGUAGAUGUCUAAUUGACUUGUCACAGUGACCCACAAUGCCCUGACCCAAACCCCAAAGUUGAUUUUAUUACUGAGGAUUAAAAAGAUCCUCUGUAACUGGUCAGAGUUUUUUCUGAUGUGAACUUUUUUUUCCGACUGUUCCAGGACAUCCUAACUAAAUAGAACAAGGGGUCUGGAGUAGUUACUGAGCAGCCCUGAGUUCUAGAACCUCAAUGGUCUCCUGUUGGAAACUAGGAGACUCCCCGUGCUUUUUGAAAGGGUAGGACUUGACUGCUUCUCUGACUCAGCAACACAAACUAUGAUAUGGACCACAAUGUAGAAGAUGAAACUGAAAAGUUGCAGAAAAUAGGAGUUACCUAAGAAACAACCAGAAAAUGCUUUAGAGAAGUGAACUAUGAGAGGAACCUUGCUAGGAGCUGUCUGAGGGGGGAAGGGAGGGACUGUGUGUGAUGCAAAGGUCAUUCACUAUCACCAUGGUCUUUGCUUUUCUUUCCAUUUACUUUUGUUGGGUGAAAAUAUUGAUUUCAAUAGUCUGCUGCCUCAAAAAGAUGCCCAUGAGAGGAGGAACAAGACCCCCCAGACAUUGGUCAUCAAGGAGCAAAAACAAACAAACAAAAAAGACUCCUUGAACAAGGCAGCAGUGCUGGACUGAUUGACUGAAGGUGAGUUCC